Molecule: ribosomal RNA, 369 nt
Filed under: Triticum aestivum (bread wheat)
Lineage: Eukaryota; Viridiplantae; Streptophyta; Magnoliopsida; Poales; Poaceae
Description: partial small subunit ribosomal RNA
Source: RNAcentral
AUGCGCUCCUUCCUCCCUCUCUUCGUCAGGCCUGACCCGGCCGUCAUCAUCGCCUCUGAGACGGCUUGCGUGCUGGAGGCACGCGGGGCCCAUGUCGUCAUGACCGUCCGCAACCUCGCUGCGGCAGAGGCAGCGCGCCAUGCCGUCCUUGCCGAGAACCCCGCCGCCAACCUCGACCUGAUGGAGCUGGACCUCCCUGGACUCCACCUCCCUGGCCUCCGUCCGCAACUUCGCCGCGCCCACAGGGGCCUCCCACUCAACAUCCUCAUGAUGUUGCGCUUGCUACUCACAUGUUUUCUGAUGCCGCAACAAAGGACUAUAUGUGGUUUCUUCAGUGGGGCUGUCUUUGUCGCUCCUCAUGUUCAAUAA